GUGCUCACUUCAGCAGUAUAUAUACUAAAAUUGGAACAAUAUAGAGAAGAUUAGCAUGUCACCUGUGCAAGGAUGAUGCAAAAUUCAUGAAACAUUUCAUAUUUUA
Molecule: small nuclear RNA, 106 nt
Organism: Cercocebus atys (sooty mangabey)
Lineage: Eukaryota; Metazoa; Chordata; Mammalia; Primates; Cercopithecidae
Source: Ensembl